CUUGUACUCCCUCCAUCCCAAAAUUCUUGUCUUAGAUUUGUCUAAAUACGGAUGUAUCUAGACAAAUCUAAGACAAGAAUUUUGGGACGGCGGGAGUAGUUU
Triticum aestivum (bread wheat) is the source of this 102-nucleotide non-coding RNA. The record is from Rfam. NCBI's taxonomy places the organism in Eukaryota, Viridiplantae, Streptophyta, Magnoliopsida, Poales, Poaceae.